CCCAACCUUACAAGCAUGAUUAUAGGGAAAACUGGAAGAUGCAUCCGGAUAUCUGCAUCGGCUGAAUCUGUCUUUUGGCGUGCCGAGAGGCUAUUUUUCCUGAAUGGAGAGCAGGACCUGUCAGAAUUUUUACUUGUUGACUUGGGCGUUGUGAAAUAUCCUGCUUACAACUGCAUAUUCACAGAUCAAAUUUUUCCAGACAGAAGUGACCUAUUGUCCGUGAUUUUUGAGAAAAUUCUUUUAUGUCGUCUAGCCUCUAUACUCUAUAUAAACAUUGUUUAUCUGACAUGCGCUCUUCUAACUUUUUAUCCUUCAGAGGCUAUUUUUCCUGAAUGGAGAGCAGGACCUGUCAGAAUUUUUACUUGUUGACUUGGGCGUUGUGAAAUAUCCUGCUUACAACUGCAUAUUCACAGAUCAAAUUUUUCCAGACAGAAGUGACCUAUUGUCCUAUGAAGAGGUACACUUAACUCUUGUGAAAAGAUACUUUUUCCCCUUAUUACUUAUCUAUUUUCU
RNAcentral lists this long non-coding RNA (513 nucleotides) under Nicotiana benthamiana. RNAcentral's name for it is "long non-coding RNA (NBEN_LNC014865)". Lineage: Eukaryota; Viridiplantae; Streptophyta; Magnoliopsida; Solanales; Solanaceae. The record is from RNAcentral.